GCAGCAUUUCAGUUUGCUUGCAAACUGGAGAUGGCGACCGGCGCACGGGUGAGUAACACGUAUCCAACCUGCCGAUAACUCGGGGAUAGCCCUUCGAAAGAAAGAUUAAUACCCGAUGGUAUAAUUAGACCGCAUGGUCUUGUUAUUAAAGAAUUUCGGUUAUCGAUGGGGAUGCGUUCCAUUAGGCAGUUGGUGAGGUAACGGCUCACCAAACCUUCGAUGGAUAGGGGUUCUGAGAGGAAGGUCCCCCACAUUGGAACUGAGACACGGUCCAAACUCCUACGGGAGGCAGCAGUGAGGAAUAUUGGUCAAUGGGCGCAGGCCUGAACCAGCCAAGUAGCGUGAAGGAUGACUGCCCUAUGGGUUGUAAACUUCUUUUAUAUGGGAAUAAAGUUUUCCACGUGUGGAAUUUUGUAUGUACCAUAUGAAUAAGGAUCGGCUAACUCCGUGCCAGCAGCCGCGGUAAUACGGAGGAUCCGAGCGUUAUCCGGAUUUAUUGGGUUUAAAGGGAGCGUAGGUGGACAGUUAAGUCAGUUGUGAAAGUUUGCGGCUCAACCGUAAAAUUGCAGUUGAUACUGGCUGUCUUGAGUACAGUAGAGGUGGGCGGAAUUCGUGGUGUAGCGGUGAAAUGCUUAGAUAUCACGAAGAACUCCGAUUGCGAAGGCA
This 666-nucleotide ribosomal RNA is filed under the name uncultured Bacteroidales bacterium. Its description in RNAcentral is "bacterial SSU rRNA". It matches the Rfam family "Bacterial small subunit ribosomal RNA", at positions 68 to 723 of the family's 1533-position model. Lineage: Bacteria; Pseudomonadati; Bacteroidota; Bacteroidia; Bacteroidales. The record is from RNAcentral.